UCCGAGUUGACCCCGGCAGUCUCCUACGAGUCCCCACCAUAACGCGCUGGCAACAUAGGACAAGGGUUGCGCUCGUUGCGGGACUUAACCCAACAUCUCACGACACGAGCUGACGACAACCAUGCACCACCUGUGUUCCGAUUCCCUUUCGGGCACACCUAAAUCUCUUCAGGCUCUCGGACAUGUCAAGGGUAGGUAAGGUUUUUCGCGUUGCAUCGAAUUAAUCCACAUAAUCCACCGCUUGCGCGGGUCCCCGUCAAUUCCUUUGAGUUUUAACCUUGCGGCCGUACUCCCCAGGCGGUCGACUUCACGCGUUAGCUUCGUUACUGAGAGUGUCAAACCCCCAACAACCAGUCGACAUCGUUUAGGGCGUGGACUAC
This 380-nucleotide unclassified non-coding RNA is filed under the name uncultured Gammaproteobacteria bacterium. RNAcentral's name for it is "contains 16S-23S intergenic spacer region". The record is from RNAcentral. Lineage: Bacteria; Pseudomonadati; Pseudomonadota; Gammaproteobacteria.